GUAGGGUGCAAGCGUUAUCCGGAAUCAUUGGGCGUAAAGAGCUCGUAGGCGGUUCAGCAAGUCGGCUGUGAAAGUCCGAGGCUCAACCUCGGAACUGCAGUCGAUACUGCUGUGACUCGAGUCCGGUAGAGGAGAAUGGAAUUCAGGGUGUAGCGGUGAAAUGCGCAGAUAUCCUGAGGAACACCAGUAGCGAAGGCGGUUCUCUGGGCCGGUACUGACGCUGAGGAGCGAAAGCGUGGGUAGCAAACAGGAUUAGAUACCCUGGUAGUCCCACGCCGUAAACGUUGGACACUAGGUGUGGCGUUCCGACCAACGGGUGCCGUGCCGAAGCUAACGCAUUAAGUGUCCCCGCCUGGGAGUACGGCCGCAAGGCUA
This 375-nucleotide ribosomal RNA is filed under the name uncultured organism. RNAcentral's name for it is "partial 16S ribosomal RNA". It matches the Rfam family "Bacterial small subunit ribosomal RNA", at positions 527 to 896 of the family's 1533-position model. The record is from RNAcentral.